This 403-nucleotide ribosomal RNA is filed under the name Fusobacteriota bacterium. RNAcentral describes it as "Fusobacteria bacterium partial 16S ribosomal RNA". It matches the Rfam family "Bacterial small subunit ribosomal RNA", at positions 355 to 776 of the family's 1533-position model. Lineage: Bacteria; Fusobacteriati; Fusobacteriota. The record is from RNAcentral.
UGGGGAAUAUUGCACAAUGGGGGAAACCCUGAUGCAGCGACGCCGCGUGAGCGAAGAAGGUUUUCGAAUCGUAAAGCUCUGUCCUAUGGGAAGAUAAUGACGGUACCAUAGGAGGAAGCCCCGGCUAACUACGUGCCAGCAGCCGCGGUAAUACGUAGGGGGCAAGCGUUGUCCGGAAUCACUGGGCGUAAAGGGUUCGCAGGCGGAAAUGCAAGUCAGUUGUGAAAGGCAGAGGCUCAACCUCUGUAAGCAAUUGAAACUGUAUUUCUUGAGAUGUGGAGAGGAAAGUGGAAUUCCUAGUGUAGCGGUGAAAUGCGUAGAUAUUAGGAAGAAUACCGGUGGCGAAGGCGACUUGCUGGACACAAACUGACGCUGAGGAACGAAAGCGUGGGUAGCAAACAGG